RNAcentral lists this ribosomal RNA (467 nucleotides) under uncultured bacterium. RNAcentral's name for it is "partial 16S ribosomal RNA". It matches the Rfam family "Bacterial small subunit ribosomal RNA", at positions 28 to 507 of the family's 1533-position model. The record is from RNAcentral.
GACGAACGCUGGCGGCGUGCUUAACACAUGCAAGUCGAACGGAAAGGCCCUGCUUUUGUGGGGUGCUCGAGUGGCGAACGGGUGAGUAACACGUGAGUAACCUGCCCUUGACUUUGGGAUAACUUCAGGAAACUGGGGCUAAUACCGGAUAGGAGCUCCUGCUGCAUGGUGGGGGUUGGAAAGUUUCGGCGGUUGGGAUGGACUCGCGGCUUAUCAGCUUGUUGGUGGGGUAGUGGCUUACCAAGGCUUUGACGGGUAGCCGGCCUGAGAGGGUGACCGGCCACAUUGGGACUGAGAUACGGCCCAGACUCCUACGGGAGGCAGCAGUGGGGAAUAUUGCACAAUGGGCGGAAGCCUGAUGCAGCAACGCCGCGUGCGGGAUGACGGCCUUCGGGUUGUAAACCGCUUUCGCCUGUGACGAAGCGUGAGUGACGGUAAUGGGUAAAGAAGCACCGGCUAACUACGUG